GAUAAGGUCUUGGAAGUAGAGCAGAAGUACAAUGAGAUACGCAAGCCAGUCUAUGAUAAGCGGAAUGAGAUCAUCAAGACCAUUCCUGACUUCUGGUUAACUGCUUUUUUAAGCCAUCCUGUUCUUCAUACACUACUAAAUGAAGAGGAUCAAAAGAUAUUCAAAUAUAUAAGCUCCUUGGAGGUGGAGGACUUUAAAGACGUUAAAUCGGGUUACUCCAUAACCUUUAACUUUCAACCCAAUCCUUAUUUUGAGGAUACAAAGCUUACAAAGACAUUCACCUUCCUUGACGAAGGAACAACAGAAAUUACUGCUACACCGAUCAAGUGGAAACAGGGCAUGGGUAUACCUAAUGGAGUUGCUCAUGAGAAGAAAGGGAACAAAAGGCCAUUUGUUGAUGAAGGCUUCUUUGGCUGGUUUAGUAAUACUGUGCAUAAAGAGGCAAUGGAGGAUUACCAGGAUGAGAUUGCAGAUGUUAUCAAAGA
RNAcentral lists this unclassified non-coding RNA (485 nucleotides) under Hevea brasiliensis (rubber tree). The record is from RNAcentral. Lineage: Eukaryota; Viridiplantae; Streptophyta; Magnoliopsida; Malpighiales; Euphorbiaceae.